ACUCCUACGGGAGGCAGCAGUGGGGGAUUUUGCGCAAUGGGGGAAACCCUGACGCAGCAACGCCGCGUGAGUGAUGAAGGCCUUCGGGUCGUAAAGCUCUGUCGGAAGGGAAGAAAUGGUGGGAUGCUAAUACCAUCUCAUCUUGACGGUACCUUCAAAGGAAGCACCGGCUAACUCCGUGCCAGCAGCCGCGGUAAUACGGAGGGUGCAAGCGUUGUUCGGAAUUAUUGGGCGUAAAGCGCGUGUAGGCGGUUUAUUAAGUCUGAUGUGAAAGCCCCGGGCUCAACCUGGGAAGUGCAUUGGAAACUGGUAGACUUGAAUACGGGAGAGGGUAGUGGAAUUCCUAGUGUAGGAGUGAAAUCCGUAGAUAUUAGGAGGAACACCGGUGGCGAAGGCGGCUACCUGGACCGAUAUUGACGCUGAGACGCGAAAGCGUGGGUAGCAAACAGGAUUAGAUACCCUGGUAGUCCACGCCGUAAACGAUGAGAACUAGGUGUCGCGGGUA
Molecule: ribosomal RNA, 505 nt
Filed under: uncultured Geobacter sp.
Lineage: Bacteria; Pseudomonadati; Thermodesulfobacteriota; Desulfuromonadia; Geobacterales; Geobacteraceae
Description: bacterial SSU rRNA
Rfam family: Bacterial small subunit ribosomal RNA
Source: RNAcentral